Molecule: ribosomal RNA, 468 nt
Filed under: uncultured bacterium
Lineage: Bacteria
Description: partial 16S ribosomal RNA
Rfam family: Bacterial small subunit ribosomal RNA
Source: RNAcentral
GACGAACGCUGGCGGCGCGCCUAACACAUGCAAGUCGAACGGAGCUGGGAGAAGCUUGCUUGUCUUAGCUCAGGGGCGAACGGGUGAGUAACGCGUGAGUACUCUGCCCUGGAGUGGGGGACAACAGAGGGAAACGACUGCUAACACCGCAUAAGCCCACGAUCCGGCAUCGGCUUGAGGGAAAAGGAUUUCUUCGCUUCAGGCUGGACUCGCGUCCAAUUAGCUAGUUGGGGAGGUAACUGCUCACCAAGGCGACGAUUGGUAGCCGGCCUGAGAGGUUGCGCGGCCGGAUUGGGACUGAGGCACGUCCCGGACGCGUACGCGAGGCAGCAGUGGGGGCCAUUGCGCAUGGAGGCCAGACCUGACGCCGCGCCGUCGCGUGGAGGAAGAAGGUUUUCGGAUUGUAGAUUCCUGUAGAUUGGGACGAUAAUGACGGUACCUAACAAGAAAGCACCGGCUAACUACGUG